ACAUCCGAUAAAAUUGGAACGAUACAGAGAAGAUUAGCAUGGCCCCUGCGCAAGGAUGACACACACAAAUCAAGAAAUGGUCCAAAUUUUUUAAGAUUUUGCGCGCUGGUCCCUAAAUAUUUUACAGAUAUGCCCCUAGGGCUCCUUGUACCUCUGUGUCCUUUUUGUUUGUGA
This 174-nucleotide ribosomal RNA is filed under the name Triticum aestivum (bread wheat). The record is from RNAcentral. Lineage: Eukaryota; Viridiplantae; Streptophyta; Magnoliopsida; Poales; Poaceae.